AAAGAAACUCGUCUUGUGCUCAACUUGUUUGAAGCCCCCCCAAAAAUGGCAGAUUCUCAAGUAGAACCUGUAGCUAUGACUGGUGUAGUUAACACUGAUAAUUCUCAAAUUCGUCCACCUUCUACUCAUUCCGAACAACUCAAGGUAAUUUGUAAAUAAUCAAUUUCUCUGCAAUCUUAAUGUUUAACUAAGAUUAUAAAUUUUUUGUAAAGUUAUGGCUCCAUUCGUAGCUUUCAAAUUCUGUAAAAAUUAAGUCGAUUAUCCUCAAGUUCAUAUUACCGAGUGGAAGAAACGUUCUUAUUUGAAGGAAGAAGAGAAGAAGGGAGAGGAAGCCAAGGAAGAGAAGAAGAGAGAGGAAGAGAAAAAGAAUGGACAACAAAACCUAAACUCAAGCCUCAUCAUUACAGGAGUGGUGGUUGCUGUGAUUGGAGCUAUAUUUGCUAUAUUUAAGAAUAUUAAAAAGGCAUGAAAUGGUACGUACUGUGUUUUACUUCUUUCAAUAUUUAUGUUGUAACUGUAAAAGCAUGACAUUGUAAAUGUAAAAUCUCGUAAUAAUAUUUGAACUCUCAGUAGUCAGCGUGGGAACGUAUCAGUAUCACACGAAAGCAGGUGAAUAAAUUGGAGAAUUCAGGCUUUUACUGUUAAUUUUCGAUAACUCCUGUUUGAUUCCUUUAUUUUCUAUAUGCACCUUUAUUGAGGGCUUUGACUGAUUUGAUACAGAUUGGAUUUUAG
Molecule: long non-coding RNA, 732 nt
Filed under: Olea europaea (common olive)
Lineage: Eukaryota; Viridiplantae; Streptophyta; Magnoliopsida; Lamiales; Oleaceae
Description: long non-coding RNA (OEUR_LNC000434)
Source: RNAcentral